Molecule: long non-coding RNA, 472 nt
Organism: Magallana angulata
Lineage: Eukaryota; Metazoa; Mollusca; Bivalvia; Ostreida; Ostreidae
Exons: 3
Source: RefSeq, a predicted model, not a curated record
UUUAUUACCUGUGUAGAAUAAGAAUUAACAGAUGUUUGAUAUCAUAAACCAUGUCAACAAAACUAGACAUAGUGAGGAUUCUGACAAUACUAGCUGUCUGCUUGAUAUCCCUUAUUUCAGGUAUAGCUGUUAGAAGUGAAAUUUCUCCGUUUUCAAUGGAUACCAGAAUGUACAGACCUCUCUCCGGUUUCCCUGGUCAAAGACUGAGGUUAGGAGCGUCGCCAUUGUCACCAAGUAAAUACUGGAAAAUAACAUCUGGAAGACAGUAUAAGCAGAGUUCUCGUCACUGGAAUAUGAGCCCAUUAAGUCCCAUUGUAGGGCCUCGCAGGCGUCCAUCAAAUCUGCUUACUGUCGGAGAUCUAAUGCUGAAUGAUCGCCUUGGAAUACAUAUUUAUUGACUGUUCUAUUUUGUUUUAAUAAUUAUAAUUUUUUGGACGUUCUCUUUUUGAAAUAAAUAGCGUGUAACCUUUUA